Molecule: ribosomal RNA, 497 nt
Filed under: uncultured bacterium
Lineage: Bacteria
Description: partial 16S ribosomal RNA
Rfam family: Bacterial small subunit ribosomal RNA
Source: RNAcentral
GAUGAACGCUGGCGGCGUGCCUAAUACAUGCAAGUCGAGCGAACAGACGAGGAGCUUGCUCCUCUGACGUCAGCGGCGGACGGGUGAGUAACACGUGGAUAACCUACCUAUAAGACUGGGAUAACUUCGGGAAACCGGAGCUAAUACCGGAUAACAUGUUGAACCGCAUGGUUCAACAGUGAAAGACGGUCUUGCUGUCACUUAUAGAUGGAUCCGCGCCGCAUUAGCUAGUUGGUAAGGUAACGGCUUACCAAGGCAACGAUGCGUAGCCGACCUGAGAGGGUGAUCGGCCACACUGGAACUGAGACACGGUCCAGACUCCUACGGGAGGCAGCAGUAGGGAAUCUUCCGCAAUGGGCGAAAGCCUGACGGAGCAACGCCGCGUGAGUGAAGAAGGUCUUCGGAUCGUAAAACUCUGUUAUUAGGGAAGAACAAAUGUGUAAGUAACUAUGCACGUCUUGACGGUACCUAAUCAGAAAGCCACGGCUAACUACGUG